This 75-nucleotide transfer RNA is filed under the name Parapontixanthobacter aurantiacus. Its description in RNAcentral is "Altererythrobacter aurantiacus tRNA-Thr". It matches the Rfam family "tRNA". Rfam says of the family: Transfer RNA (tRNA) molecules are approximately 80 nucleotides in length. Their secondary structure includes four short double-helical elements and three loops (D, anti-codon, and T loops). The record is from RNAcentral. Lineage: Bacteria; Pseudomonadati; Pseudomonadota; Alphaproteobacteria; Sphingomonadales; Erythrobacteraceae.
GCUGCUGUAGCUCAGUGGUAGAGCGCACCCUUGGUAAGGGUGAGGUCGGGAGUUCAAUUCUCCCUAGCAGCACCA